Hibiscus syriacus is the source of this 1330-nucleotide long non-coding RNA. RefSeq lists it as uncharacterized. The record is from RefSeq and is a predicted model, not a curated record. The transcript has 4 exons. Lineage: Eukaryota; Viridiplantae; Streptophyta; Magnoliopsida; Malvales; Malvaceae.
GUAUUUUAUUAGGAGUUAGUUUAAUAUUGAUUCAUUGAAAGUUUAUUAUUGUUAAAAUCUUAUUUAGUAGAAAGGGGUUGCUUGCUUUAGUAGGUCUUUUAUUUUCACAAGGUAUGCAACCUCUAUUUAUUACGAUUAAUAAAAUACAAUUUGCAUAGUAUCCACCUGAAAGAUCUAAAGUCUCGGCCGCAUUUCGUGAUGCUGAAACUCAUGGGCUCAUGGUGGCUCGAACUUGGGUUUUCAGUGAUGGUUGUUAUAAACCUUUACAGUAUGCAGGUUCAUAUAAUGAACAAAUGUUUAAGGUAUUUUUCUAUUUUGACUCCUUUAUAGUUUACUUUGUAUAUCUUUAAUGUACUGAUCUGACUCGGAUCUUCUCGGUUUUGGAUUGUUUCAAAGGGAUUGGAUUUUUUAAUAGCUGAGGCCAGAAAAUAUAGAAUCAAGCUCACCCUGAGCUUAGCUAACUAUGACAGCUUUGGGGGAAAUAAAACAAUAUCCAAACUGGACAAGAAGUCAAGAAGUCAAACCCAAUACCUCACAUCUGAUGAUGAUUUCUUCAGAAAUCCUGUUGUCAAGGGAUACUAUAAGAAUCAUAUAACUACCCAUUCUCAAGAGAUGUAACAGCUUUACAGGGGAUUAUUACAAAGACGAUCCGACGAUAAUGGCAUGGGAGCUUAUGAAUGAGCCUUGAUGCACAUCAGAUUCCUUAGGAAGGACUGUUCAGGCUUGGAUAAUGGAAAUGGCUUCUCAUGUCAAAUCCAUAAACUCCUCAGCAGAAGAAACAACAUCCCAGCUUGGAUAUCGGAACAUGUUUAAUUGAAAAUAAUCUGAUUUCCGCCAUCAAUUUUGCAACGGUUAUGCCGCUCAAACGAUGAAUAUCAGUUCUUGUUUUUAAACAUCUAGCUCGAUGCUACCAUACAAGACGCACGAUUCGUCUUCCGAAAGCCGAUACUAUUCACGGAAUUCGGAGAAUCAUUUAAGGAGACCCCGGUUUCAACACUUGUAAGAGAGACCAAUUGUUCAACUCUGUCAUACUACAAGAUAUACUGAUCAGCUGAAAGAGGUGGACCAGCUGGUGGUGGUCUGUUUUGGCAACUAUUAAGUGAAGGCAUGAACUCAUUCAGGGAUGGAUUUGGGAUUGCUCCAGGUGAGAGCUUUUCAACAGCUAGUACUUGGUCGACAAGCUCACAAGCUCGACCAAAUCCGUAGGAUCUUUAUGAGAAGACGCAUUGGAAACAAAACAUUGAAACAGAGCACAUAUACGUGAGAUUUUAUACUUUGUUUUAUAAUAUAUCAAUAUCAAGUCGAAAAAAAAUUAUUAAUAGAAAAUAUA